AUCGGGGUCACCGUGUCCCGGAUCACGGACCAGGAGAAGGCGAUGAGCAGCCAGUCCUUGACCACGCCGGCCACGUUCAUGGUGAGCGCCGACGUCUUGCCCACGAGCAGGAAGACGGCCAGGUUGAGCGCGAAGGCGCAGAGGGAGUUGGUGCCGAAGACGAAGAAGUCGGGCUCGAACAUGCCCACGGCGCGCAGCCUGGGCAGCUCGACGAAGACCCAGGGCAGGAAGAGGAACCCCAGGCAGCAGGGCGCGACGUAG
This 261-nucleotide ribosomal RNA is filed under the name Triticum aestivum (bread wheat). Its description in RNAcentral is "partial small subunit ribosomal RNA". Lineage: Eukaryota; Viridiplantae; Streptophyta; Magnoliopsida; Poales; Poaceae. The record is from RNAcentral.